RNAcentral lists this ribosomal RNA (253 nucleotides) under uncultured bacterium. RNAcentral's name for it is "partial 16S ribosomal RNA". It matches the Rfam family "Bacterial small subunit ribosomal RNA", at positions 524 to 776 of the family's 1533-position model. The record is from RNAcentral.
UACGGAGUGUGCAAGCGUUACUCGGAAUCACUGGGCAUAAAGCGCGCGUAGGCGGGUAUUCAAGUCGGUUGUGAAAUCCCCAGGCUCAACUUGGGAACUGCAUCCGAUACUGGAUGGCUUGAAUCCGGGAGAGGGAUGCAGAAUUCCAGGUGUAGCGGUGAAAUGCGUAGAUAUCUGGAGGAAUACCGGUGGCGAAGGCGGCAUCCUGGACCGGCAUUGACGCUGAUGAGCGAAAGCUAGGGGAGCAAACGGG